Molecule: ribosomal RNA, 435 nt
Filed under: uncultured bacterium
Lineage: Bacteria
Description: partial 16S ribosomal RNA
Rfam family: Bacterial small subunit ribosomal RNA
Source: RNAcentral
GAUGAACGCUGGCGGUAUGCUUAACACAUGCAAGUCGAACGGACUCUUCGGAGUUAGUGGCGGACGGGUGAGUAACGCGUGAGAAUCUGGCUUUGGGUUCGGGACAACCACUGGAAACGGUGGCUAAUACUGGAUGUGCCGAGAGGUAAAAGAGAAAUUGCCUGAAGAUGAGCUCGCGUCUGAUUAGCUAGUUGGUGAGGUAAAGGCUCACCAAGGCAGCGAUCAGUAGCUGGUCUGAGAGGAUGACCAGCCACACUGGGACUGAGACACGGCCCAGACUCCUACGGGAGGCAGCAGUGGGGAAUUUUCCGCAAUGGGCGAAAGCCUGACGGAGCAAUACCGCGUGAGGGAAGAAGGCUCUUGGGUUGUAAACCUCUUUUCUUAGGGAAGAACAAAAUGACGGUACCUAAGGAAUCAGCAUCGGCUAACUCCGUG